Molecule: ribosomal RNA, 460 nt
Filed under: Veillonella parvula
Lineage: Bacteria; Bacillati; Bacillota; Negativicutes; Veillonellales; Veillonellaceae
Description: bacterial SSU rRNA
Rfam family: Bacterial small subunit ribosomal RNA
Source: RNAcentral
GACGAACGCGGCGGCGUGCUUAACACAUGCAAGUCGAACGAAGAGCGAUGGAAGCUUGCUUCUAUCAAUCUUAGUGGCGAACGGGUGAGUAACGCGUAAUCAACCUGCCCUUCAGAGGGGGACAACAGUUGGAAACGACUGCUAAUACCGCAUACGAUCUAAUCUCGGCAUCGAGGAUAGAUGAAAGGUGGCCUCUACAUGUAAGCUAUCACUGAAGGAGGGGAUUGCGUCUGAUUAGCUAGUUGGAGGGGUAACGGCCCACCAAGGCGAUGAUCAGUAGCCGGUCUGAGAGGAUGAACGGCCACAUUGGGACUGAGACACGGCCCAGACUCCUACGGGAGGCAGCAGUGGGGAAUCUUCCGCAAUGGACGAAAGUCUGACGGAGCAACGCCGCGUGAGUGAUGACGGCCUUCGGGUUGUAAAGCUCUGUUAAUCGGGACGAAAGGCCUUCUUGCGAAUA